GAUGAACGCUGGCGGCGUGCCUAAUAUAUGCAAGUCGAGCGAACAGACGAGGAGCUUGCUCCUCUGACGUUAGCGGCGGACGGGUGAGUAACACGUGGAUAACCUACCUAUAAGACUGGGAUAACUUCGGGAAACCGGAGCUAAUACCGGAUAAUAUAUUGAACCGCAUGGUUCAAUAGUGAAAGACGGUUUUGCUGUCACUUAUAGAUGGAUCCGCGCCGCAUUAGCUAGUUGGUAAGGUAACGGCUUACCAAGGCGACGAUGCGUAGCCGACCUGAGAGGGUGAUCGGCCACACUGGAACUGAGACACGGUCCAGACUCCUACGGGAGGCAGCAGUAGGGAAUCUUCCGCAAUGGGCGAAAGCCUGACGGAGCAACGCCGCGUGAGUGAUGAAGGUCUUCGGAUCGUAAAACUCUGUUAUUAGGGAAGAACAAAUGUGUAAGUAACUAUGCACGUCUUGACGGUACCUAAUCAGAAAGCCACGGCUAACUACGUG
RNAcentral lists this ribosomal RNA (497 nucleotides) under uncultured bacterium. Its description in RNAcentral is "partial 16S ribosomal RNA". It matches the Rfam family "Bacterial small subunit ribosomal RNA", at positions 28 to 507 of the family's 1533-position model. The record is from RNAcentral.